Ixodes scapularis (black-legged tick) is the source of this 45-nucleotide non-coding RNA. The record is from Rfam. Lineage: Eukaryota; Metazoa; Arthropoda; Arachnida; Ixodida; Ixodidae.
AAAACGGCUCUUUUAAGAGCCACACAUUUACGCACCUCGGAUGGC